AGCUUCUGAGGCUGCGCAGGGGGAGAAAAGGGUUAGGGGGUCGAGCCCUGACUUCGCCUCCUCUUCCAAGAAGCCUUCCCAGACACUCAGCUGUAAAACCAGACGGACGUCCUCCGAUAAAAUUGUUUCUACGUAGGGCCGGCUUCACCGGCUUGGAAUCCGCUUAGAAGGGUCUUCGCGCUUGGUUGAAUGUUCUGCAAUUGCUGUCUUGAAAUUUUUAGUUUUUGAGCAUGGGGCCCCUUAUUUUCACUUUGCACUAGGCCAAAUAUGUAGCCGGUCUUGCUGCUAAGAGUCUGAGAUCCAUUGCAUUCCAAAUUCUGGAAUUAUAAGACCCUGGGUGGAAGAUUCUAUGCUUUGACCAGAAGAGAGUCUAAGCAGCUUUUGUCUCCCAGGUGCUAGGAGGUUGUGUGCUCAUCAUUCUUCCAUUCCAGGGGCCUUUGUUCUACGUUCUAAGGGGCUUUGUUCUCAGCCUUCUAUGAUGCUCUAUUCUCAACGUUCUCUGGUCCUAGGAGUCUGAGCCUGACAUUCGUUUCCAAGGCUUCCCACUGUCUCCAGGCUCCGCGAGCAGGACUGGGGCACCCUCAGGCGGCCAACCUGUGUCACUACGCCGAGCCUGCCUCUACCAACUUCCAAGACCUAGCUCUAAUAUUCACACUCAUCUCUCAGACAGACCUUGGCUCCCUAAAAGCCAAGGCCCAGAAGAUCAUACGAGAUAUUCCCUCUUUUAUGAUUCCGCGUGCACGAAGUGACCUUCUGGUGGUGAGAUGGAGAGAAAUUGAUAGUGGCGACAGACAGCAAAGUCUCCAGGAGCCAGACUUCCUCGGGGGUAUGUUGCCCAAACUGGACUCGAACUCCUAGACUCCAGCGAUCCUCCCACCUCAGCCUCUUAAGCAGCUGGGAAUACAGUCACCUGCCACCAUGCCCAGCUUUCAGGUAGGUCUUUGCAGCACGUAAGUCAGAGCGUGCUGAAAGUCUGAAGAAAACUUGUUCAGGUGCAUGUUCGGAUCGUUUGCCUUCAGCUGUGGAAGCUUGAGGACCAUGUGUUAGGGUGUUAUUGGAGAACUGGGGAGCUGGAGGGCUGGAGUCAAAGGUAGAGAGAGGUGGAUACGUGUUCCCUCCAGUUCGUUCCUUCCGCCUUCAGUCUUUCAACGCUAAGAUGAAGCUUCAGAGGUCUUCUCUGACUACCCACCCUCUCUGACCCCUGAGCUCAUUCUAGGCUGCCCAAGCCUCCCAAACUCCCCCAAUCCAGCCCUUCCCAUUCUGGGUCAUCACUGUCCAGGGGCAGGUAAGUCUCUCCACUGGAUGGCGAACCCCAUGAAGGGCAGUCCUUGGCUGUCUCAGUCACCACUGUGUCCCCAGCAUCACCCAGCUCGGUGAGACAAAUGAAUUAAUAUAUACUUCUCUAUAUAUGAAAUAUAUAUCACAUCACAUCAAAAUAAAAUAAAAUACUAAAUGUUGCAUAUCAGUUUUCUAGUAUGGAUCAGACGUGGGCUAACUGCAUUUUAUUUAUUUUUGAGACAGGGUCUCUUCUCUUGCCCAGGCUAGAGGGCAGUGGCGUGAUCUUGGCUCACUGCAAUCUCUGCUUCCUGGGGUCAAGCGAUCCUCCAGCCUCAACCUCCCAAGUAGCUGGGACCACAGGGGCAAGCUACCACACCUGGCUGGCUAAUUUUUGAACUUUUUGUAGAAAGGGAGUUUCGCCAUGUUGGUCAGGCUGGUCUCAAACUCCUGAGAUCUAAGGGAUCUGCCUGC
This 1749-nucleotide long non-coding RNA is filed under the name Macaca fascicularis (crab-eating macaque). Its description in RNAcentral is "lncRNA (ENSMFAG00000048222.1)". Lineage: Eukaryota; Metazoa; Chordata; Mammalia; Primates; Cercopithecidae. The record is from RNAcentral.